Transfer RNA from Felis catus (domestic cat), 73 nucleotides. It matches the Rfam family "tRNA". From Rfam's summary of the family: Transfer RNA (tRNA) molecules are approximately 80 nucleotides in length. Their secondary structure includes four short double-helical elements and three loops (D, anti-codon, and T loops). Further hydrogen bonds mediate the characteristic L-shaped molecular structure. tRNAs have two regions of fundamental functional importance: the anti-codon, which is responsible for specific mRNA codon recognition, and the 3' end, to which the tRNAs corresponding amino acid is attached (by aminoacyl-tRNA synthetases). tRNAs cope with the degeneracy of the genetic code in two manners: having more than one tRNA (with a specific anti-codon) for a particular amino acid; and 'wobble' base-pairing, i.e. permitting non-standard base-pairing at the 3rd anti-codon position. The record is from Rfam. NCBI's taxonomy places the organism in Eukaryota, Metazoa, Chordata, Mammalia, Carnivora, Felidae.
GCCUGGCUGCCUCAGCUGGAAGAGCAUGAGACUCUUGAUCUCAGGGUUGUGAGUUCAAGCCCCACGUUGGGUU